AUUGAACGCUGGCGGCAGGCUUAACACAUGCAAGUCGAGCGGUAACAGAGAGAAGCUUGCUUCUCUGCUGACGAGCGGCGGACGGGUGAGUAAUGCCUAGGAAUCUGCCUAGUAGUGGGGGAUAACUUGCCGAAAGGUAAGCUAAUACCGCAUACGUCCUACGGGAGAAAGGAGGGGACCUUCGGGCCUUUCGCUAUUAGAUGAGCCUAGGUCGGAUUAGUUAGUUGGUGAGGUAAUGGCUCACCAAGACCGCGAUCCGUAACUGGUCUGAGAGGAUGAUCAGUCACCCUGGAACUGAGACACGGUCCAGACUCCUACGGGAGGCAGCAGUGGGGAAUAUUGGACAAUGGGGGGGAACCCUGAUCCAGCCAUGCCGCGUGGGGGAAGAAGGUCUUAGGAUUGUAAAGCACUUUAAGUUGGGGGGAAGGGCAGUUAACUAAUAUUUGACUGUUUUGACUUUACCGACAAAAUAAGCACCGGCUAACUUCGU
This 490-nucleotide ribosomal RNA is filed under the name uncultured bacterium. RNAcentral describes it as "partial 16S ribosomal RNA". It matches the Rfam family "Bacterial small subunit ribosomal RNA", at positions 30 to 506 of the family's 1533-position model. The record is from RNAcentral.